RNAcentral lists this long non-coding RNA (1107 nucleotides) under Bos indicus x Bos taurus (hybrid cattle). Its description in RNAcentral is "lncRNA (ENSBIXG00005007191.1)". Lineage: Eukaryota; Metazoa; Chordata; Mammalia; Artiodactyla; Bovidae. The record is from RNAcentral.
CUUUUACAGAGUUUAGGAACACGAGUCAGCAGCUUCAGAUGAUAGCUUUCUUAGAAGAGCAGCAGUACUGCCCUGACCACAAAGUACACAGCAGGGCAUUCUUGAGCUUUGUGUUUAUUCUCUAGCUGUGCAUGUUUUAUUAAUUGGUCUGCAAAGCUCAGUUCUGCUCCCGAGGCAGGCAUUCUACUGUCCCAGAGAACAGCUGGACUUCCUCAGAGUCUGCAAGCAAGCCAGGUCGCCUUUCUUUCCCCUCAGCCAUAUAAGAAUGGUUGGAGAACUUGGUUUUUCUCACCGCUAAGGGGCUACCAGACACCUCUCUGCUUUCCCUGAUCUUUCCUUGGACUUGUGUGUGUGUGUGUGUGUGUGUGUGUGUGUGUGUCAUGUCUUUCUAAUCACCUUUGAAAGACAUUUCUUUCUGUCUUGAGUGUAUCUCUUGUGUUCCCUCUGACAGUUAAAUACAUUAUUUAGCUUCUUCCUGUAUUGUUUUUUUUUUGUUUUUCUCUUUUGACGGUGAAAAAUAGAGGGGGAAAGCUUGCUACGGAAACCUUGCCCAUUGUUUCCCCGUGCCUAGCACAGCGGUGUGCAACUCAAAACUUUUAUUCAGUGGAUGGAUGGAUGAAUGGAUUGAUGACUACACGUUUGUGAGGAAGGUGUGGAAUCCAGUGGAAGAUGCAGCACAAGCAUGAAAGGAACAACUCUAGGCAACAGGAAGUUACAUAACACUUCAGUAGGCUAUGUAAAAAGCCUGACAUAUGGUCUCGGAUCAGCUGCCUUCUCUUCCUUACCUGGACAUGGCUGCGUUGUUAGUACUCCGCACUGUGCUAUGUCGCCUGGAAGAUACAAAUGUGUUUAGGUCAUGCUAUGUGCCCUCCUGUUGUCCGUGAUCUAACUGGAGAGAAAGACCAUGGCCAUCGCUGAACUGCAAAUUGUGGCCAGGACUGCCUGGGUCAUGCAUUCCCCACCUUGGAGUCAUAGGGAAGUUGUCGACUUGCAUAUCAAGUGGGUCGGAACAGAAGCAGUUAGUUUCCGUAAGGCAGAAGGACUGUAUUCCGGUGAGUCAUGAGUUUCCAUGGGUGUUGGUCUGAGCUGUUUUGGGCCUCUGGUCCA